RNAcentral lists this transfer RNA (65 nucleotides) under Cyrtonotula longialata. Its description in RNAcentral is "tRNA-Phe". It matches the Rfam family "tRNA". From Rfam's summary of the family: Transfer RNA (tRNA) molecules are approximately 80 nucleotides in length. Lineage: Eukaryota; Metazoa; Arthropoda; Insecta; Blattodea; Blaberidae. The record is from RNAcentral.
AUUUGAAUAGCUUAAUAAGAGUAUAACAUUGAAGAUGUUAGGGUGAUUGUUAAAAUCUUUAAAUA